Molecule: long non-coding RNA, 465 nt
Filed under: Pongo abelii (Sumatran orangutan)
Lineage: Eukaryota; Metazoa; Chordata; Mammalia; Primates; Hominidae
Description: lincRNA
Source: RNAcentral
UUUCAGGUAGUUGGGAGCCAGGGAAGGAGUGACACUAUCCCUAGAUGUAGUGAUAUGGUUUUCCUGGGAGGGCUUGACUUAAUCAGGUGAGCCCUUUAAAUGGAUUGGGAUCCUCGUGGAGGUCAGAUGUGUUCUCCUGCUGACCUUGAAAAUGUAAUCUGCAAUGUGAACGUGUUGAUGGAGGGGGCCAAAUGCCAAGGACCUGAGGGGGCACCGUGGGAGCUGAGAGUAGUCCCCAGCUAAUAACUAGUAAGAAAAUGAAACCUCAACACUUAGGCACAAGAAACUGAAUUAUGCUAACAACUAUUUGAGCUUUAAAGAGGAUCCUGAGCACCAGAAAGUAAUGUCGCAUAGCAACCACGUUGAUUACAUCCUUGCAAGACCUCGUGAGGAUGACUCAAUUAAUUCAUGCCCAGAUUCAUGCCCAUUGAAACUGUGAUAAUACAUGUAUGUUGUUUUACCUUA